RNAcentral lists this ribosomal RNA (247 nucleotides) under Rhizobiales bacterium ISO272_OTU19817. RNAcentral's name for it is "partial 16S ribosomal RNA". It matches the Rfam family "Bacterial small subunit ribosomal RNA", at positions 29 to 289 of the family's 1533-position model. Lineage: Bacteria; Pseudomonadati; Pseudomonadota; Alphaproteobacteria; Hyphomicrobiales. The record is from RNAcentral.
ACGAACGCUGGCGGCAGGCUUAACACAUGCAAGUCGAACGCUGUAGCAAUACAGAGUGGCAGACGGGUGAGUAACACGUGGGAAUCUACCCAUCCCUACGGAACAACUCCGGGAAACUGGAGCUAAUACCGUAUACGCCCCUUGAUGGUGGACAUUGAGGGGGAAAGAUUUAUCGGGGAUGGAUGAGCCCGCGUUGGAUUAGCUAGUUGGUGGGGUAAAGGCCUACCAAGGCGACGAUCCAUAGCUG